RNAcentral lists this ribosomal RNA (506 nucleotides) under uncultured beta proteobacterium. RNAcentral describes it as "bacterial SSU rRNA". It matches the Rfam family "Bacterial small subunit ribosomal RNA", at positions 1 to 470 of the family's 1533-position model. The record is from RNAcentral. Lineage: Bacteria; Pseudomonadati; Pseudomonadota; Betaproteobacteria.
UUGGGAGCUCUCCCAUAUGGUCGACCUGCAGGCGGCCGCGAAUUCACUAGUGAUUAGAGUUUGAUCGGGGCUCAGAUUGAACGCUAGCGGAAUGCUUUACACAUGCAAGUCGGGCGGCAGCACGGGGCACCGGGCGCGAUCGGCGAACGGUGAGUAGCAUGAACAUGUCCAUUCGUGGGGGAUAGCCCGGCGAAAGCCGGAUUAAUACCGCAUACGCCCGAGAGGGGAAAGUGGGGGACCGCAAGGCCUCACGCGAUUGGGUCGGCCGAUGCCCGAUUAGCUAGUUGGCGGGGUAAGAGCCCACCAAGGCGAUGAUCGGUAGCUGGUCUGAGAGGAUGAUCAGCCACACUGGGACUGAGACACGGCCUAGACUCCUACGGGAGGCAGCAGUGGGGAAUUUUGGACAAUGGGGGCAACCCUGAUCCAGCCAUUCCGCGUUAGUGAACACCUUCGGGUUGUAAAGCUCUUUGUCCGGAGCGAUGGGAGGACGUGAAUAGCGUCGUCCU